This 467-nucleotide ribosomal RNA is filed under the name uncultured bacterium. RNAcentral describes it as "partial 16S ribosomal RNA". It matches the Rfam family "Bacterial small subunit ribosomal RNA", at positions 28 to 507 of the family's 1533-position model. The record is from RNAcentral.
GACGAACGCUGGCGGCGUGCUUAACACAUGCAAGUCGAACGGAAAGGCCUCUUUCGGGGGGUACUCGAGUGGCGAACGGGUGAGUAACACGUGAGUAACCUGCCCUUGACUUUGGGAUAACUUCAGGAAACUGGGGCUAAUACCGGAUAGGAGCUCCUGCUGCAUGGUGGGGGUUGGAAAGUUUCGGCGGUUGGGGAUGGACUCGCGGCUUAUCAGCUUGUUGGUGGGGUAGUGGCUUACCAAGGCUUUGACGGGUAGCCGGCCUGGGAGGGUGACCGGGCACAUUGGGACUGGGAUACGGCCCAGACUCCUACGGGAGGCAGCAGUGGGGAAUAUUGCACAAUGGGUGGAAGCCUGAUGCAGCAACGCCGUGUGCGGGAUGACGGCCUUCGGGUUGUAAACCGCUUUCGCUCAUGACGAAGCUUUGUGUGACGGUAGUGGGUAAAGAAGCACCGGCUAACUACGUG